Molecule: long non-coding RNA, 231 nt
Filed under: Mytilus galloprovincialis (Mediterranean mussel)
Lineage: Eukaryota; Metazoa; Mollusca; Bivalvia; Mytilida; Mytilidae
Source: RNAcentral
CAUGAAUAUGGGCUGUUUUGACAAUACAAUGUACAUAUAUCGGGUACUAGCAUCAUUAAGUCGUGAUAAAUUCUGAAAUCUUCACAAUUUUAUCAGUUAGUUUUCAGACAGUUUCCGUCUACAAUGAAAAUGGCCGCAUCUGUGUUCAUUCUUAAUAUUAAAAUGUAAGUUGUAUUUGAUGAUAAUACAUAACAUAUAUAAAGGCUGAAGAUGAACACAGCCAAUUUCAUU